GAGUUUGAUCUUGGCUCAGAUUGAACGCUGGCGGCAGGCCUAACACAUGCAAGUCGAGCGGAUGACGGGAGCUUGCUCCCUGAUUCAGCGGCGGACGGGUGAGUAAUGCCUAGGAAUCUGCCUGGUAGUGGGGGACAACGUUUCGAAAGGAACGCUAAUACCGCAUACGUCCUACGGGAGAAAGCAGGGGACCUUCGGGCCUUGCGCUAUCAGAUGAGCCUAGGUCGGAUUAGCUAGUUGGUGGGUAAUGGCUCACCAAGGCGACGAUCCGUAACUGGUCUGAGAGGAUGAUCAGUCACACUGGAACUGAGACACGGUCCAGACUCCUACGGAGGCAGCAGUGGGGAAUAUUGGACAAUGGGCGAAAGCCUGAUCCAGGCCAUGCCGCGUGUGUGAAGAAGGUCUUCGGAUUGUAAAGCACUUUAAGUUAGGGAGGAAGGGCAGUAAGUUAAUACCUUGCUGUUUGACGUUACCGACAGAAUAAGCACCGGCUAACUCUGUG
RNAcentral lists this ribosomal RNA (502 nucleotides) under bacterium enrichment culture clone ALO1_GLFRUDD03HCZTT. RNAcentral describes it as "bacterial SSU rRNA". It matches the Rfam family "Bacterial small subunit ribosomal RNA", at positions 9 to 507 of the family's 1533-position model. The record is from RNAcentral.